Molecule: long non-coding RNA, 1975 nt
Organism: Carassius gibelio (silver crucian carp)
Lineage: Eukaryota; Metazoa; Chordata; Actinopteri; Cypriniformes; Cyprinidae
Exons: 3
Source: RefSeq, a predicted model, not a curated record
GCAUUUGCAAUAAGGAUGAGAAGGAUGACAAAUGGCUCGACAAAGGCAGUGACAGUUUCCUCGCCUUCCUCAAACCAGGCCAGUACCUGAUGAACAGAGAGAGUGUGAGAGACAUCCAAGAUCCAUACGCGAGGGAUGGAGGAAGGGAGGUGACCCUCACAGCUCUAGCGUGGCCAAAGAAAUGGAGAUUGUGUGGGGUACAGCAGUUAUUUUGCCAUUCAGGCUUUUAUAAGUUGAAAUAGUUUUCACCACUGGCUCUCUGUGACUCUUCAACUCUGACCCCUUGCCCCCUCUCUGACCUGGGCCCCAUCAGGUGUGCUUGUGUGUCAUGUUUCUGACAUCCCUGUCGCGGUACAGAAUGUGUCCCGGCGCUGCUGUCAUGUCUGUGCUCACGUUGCAGCACGGGUCGCAUUGCUGCAAAAAUGCGCUAGAUGAUUUCUUACCAUUCACACUAAUUUCUUAUGUCAAAAAUUAAAAAAAAAAAAAAAAUUCUCCUGUCCUGAGCGAAAAAAAGUAUACCCGUUUCCACUAUAUAGUAAGCUGUUUUCAACCUUAAUAAUAAGAAUUGUUUCUUGCGCACCAAAUCAGCAUAUUACAAUGAAGACUGGACUGAAGAUUACAAAUGACUGUUAAGCUUUGCCAUUACAGGAAUAAAAUACGUUUUAAAAUAUGUUAAAAGGUUAUGUUAUAUUGUAAUAAAAUUUCACAAUAAAACAUGGCAUAGUAAUACAUUAUCAGCAAAGCCGGCUGAAGAAAGAGUUGCUAGAUAACGGUGCACAUAAGCACAAAGCACAGGAAGUUUGAUUAGAAAUGAACUGAGUGAUGAUCUUCUGCUGGUGAAGUGAUUGACGGCUGAUGUUGUGCUGGAGAGAGAUAGGACACAUGGAACUGACAGGUUAGUGCUGGAAGAUUUAAGAAAUAACAUUCCCUCAUUUUAUGAGUAUAUUUACCCUUCUGUAGCUCUGUCAUUGUGUGUGUGUGUGUGUCUUCCUUUUUAGGUCUGCACUUGGCUCAGGGAACAUACAGAGACGCUGCUGAUGACAGGAAGACGGAUCAAGGGAAAGAGAAGAGGGACUCAGGAAAGCCAAGAUGCUGGGAUGAACUGAAGGUUAAAUAUAUACAGUGGUGAAUGAGAGGAGUGUAGAAUGGAGCUAGAGAAACAAAUAUGAAGAAAAAAGUUUAGAAGUGAUAGAGUAAAAAGUGAAUUUGAGGAAUUAGAGAAAGUAAUGAAGAAGAAAAGCAACAUCUUCGGAAUGUUUGACAGUGGUUGAGCUGUCAAUUCUACUUAACUGCCUCUAACAAAUGCAUUAUUUUCAACCAUACUAUUGAUUACUGUGAAUGAACAUUGCAAAAUACAGAAGUAAGGGUGAUUUCACGCAUCUUACACACGUGUGAAGUAUGUUGUGUACAUGUGUGUCCGCCAAACAAGUGUGUGACAGGUGCUGGACAGGAAUGGUGUUAAAUUCUCCGCACUGUCCCUAUUCUUGGUUAUUUGAAUCUGAGGCUCCAAAGUAUGGAGCUGUAAUCCAGUCUUUAAUGACUAACGCCUCUAUAUACACACACAGAUGGCACGUGAAUACGUUCAAGAUCAUCUAGACAUUAAGUUACACAAUUUAAUGUUUUACUUCAUUAUAGUGUAUUCACAUUUUAUCUUAGCAGCAAUUGCAAUAGAACAUUUCCCUCCAUUAUUUAAGUUGGGUGAAAUUAAUAGUAGCAUAUUAUUAUAGGAAACCCAUUGCCAAGAAGAAGAAGAAAAAAAGGUAUUUAUUUCACAAUUUGAACUUUGUUUUCCUUGAAAUUCUGAGACAAUGGUAAUCUGAUUUGAAAUUGUGAGAUGUCAACUUGCAAUUCUGAAAAUAAAUUCAGAAUUGCAGAUUUAAAAUGAGAACUCUUACCUUUGUUCUCACAAUUCCGAGAUAAUACCUCACAAUUCUGAAUGCAUUUGCCAGAAAUCUGAGUUUACAUUUCAGUUCAG